Molecule: long non-coding RNA, 4231 nt
Organism: Monodelphis domestica (gray short-tailed opossum)
Lineage: Eukaryota; Metazoa; Chordata; Mammalia; Didelphimorphia; Didelphidae
Source: Ensembl
UCCCCAAUCAUAUCCCCCGCUACCCAUGUGAUCAAGCAGUUAUUUUUCUUCUGUGUUUCUUCUUCCAGAGUUCUUCCUCUGGAUGUGGAUAGUGCUCUUUCUCAUAAGUCCCUCAGAACUGUCCUGGAUCAUUGCAUUGCUGCUAGUAGAGAAGUCCAUUACAUGUGAUUGUGUCACAGUGUAUGUCUCUUUGUGUAAUGUUCUGGUUCUGCUCCUUUGACUCUGCAUAAAAUCAUGGAGGUCAUUCCAGUUCACAUGGAAUUAUUCCAGUUCAUUAUUCCUUUUAGUACUAUAGUAUUCCAACACCAUCAAAUAAAAAAAAAUUUCCUUAGACAGCACCCAAUUAAAAGACAUCUCCUCAUUUUCUAAUUUUUUGCCGCCAAGAAGAGCAUGGCUGUGAAGGUUGUUUGCUUUAUUAUCACUUUGGGGUACAAAUCCAGCAAUAAUAUAUCAGGUUCAAAGGGCAGGAAGACUUUUAAAGAAAGAAAGAGUGUUUUGAGAAAGGAGAAUGCUUGCUCUGGAGGAGGAGUUGUCCACGGUGAGUGAGGGGAGGGAGAGUAAGCUAGUUGAGCUCGGGAUGAGGAAUAUUAGGGAAGAGCAGGAAGGAGCCCUGCAGAGAGGAGAUGGGGUGAAGGCCCAGGAUCUCAGCCCCGUAGCCCGCUAGAUUGCCCGAUGUGUCCCAACCAAUCACCUCUUUCAGACUACACAGGAGUUUCCAGCGUGAGCCCAAUGGCAGCAGGGAGCAGGAAUCCAUCCCCUUGGAGCAGAGAGGACACGGAGCCCACUAGCCUCCCUGGGGCUGCAUCGACCUUGGGAAAUGCCCCUUUCAGGACCCCGGGACCCAUCCUCUCCACAGACACACGUGCGGGCUCAGAGUCUGCUCAGACUGCCAGUCUCUUUGUGGGCUCGGCACCAGGUGGCCAGGCUGGAGAGACACCCCCGCCAAGCGUGUCUGCUGUGGGAGGCCAUCCCACUGCAGGAGGGUCUGUGGGCCCUGGCUCUCUCCCUCCUGCUGCCACAGCCUUUGAGUCUGAGGGCAUGGCAGGCUCCAGCGUCCCCUUAGACAGCAGCCCUCGAAGGACCGUUUCCUCCUUUUUGCCCACGGCCACCUCGGCUGCCGCCACAGCAGCGAUGUGGGAGCAUGACAGCACCAGGCCUCCUGAAAGGGGUCCAGGUGGCUCCUUCCAUACCGAGAUCCCUUCUUCAGGGAAAGGCAUCAGCACCCCCCUUGCUCUGUCUCCUUCUGACUCGGGCUCCACUAGCAGAGUCCCCGGCGCGACCUCCCUUUCCCAGGGCACACAGACAGUGGCUUCCACCAUCCCUGAGGAGUCAGAGGCCCAGACAGGGAUGCCGGCCAGCUCGGUUGGUCUGACCACCCCUCCCCGGAGUCAGAUCUCCAGUACCGAGGAGGCAGAGACAGCCACGGCUGCCCCUUCCCUGGGAGCCAGCCCAGGGCCAGUGGAUGCGCCCACUGCCUUCCCUGUUUUCACGGGCCCUCUAGGAACCGCCAUGGCCCCAGGAGGGAGCCCUAGUUCUAGGAGGACCCUGGAGACUUUGUGGACCGAGACAAGCAGCCCCUUUGCUUCUCCCAGCACGAGCCAGCAGAAGGGCGGUCCUCCUCCUGGGCUAGGGCCCUCUGGCUCCACGGGCACCCGGACACCUGUGGCCAUGACCGAGCCGUGGAGCAGCGCUGUGGUCUCUUCAUCUCCUGGCACAACGAGGACCCUGUAUGCCACGGAGGGGACCAGCCUCCUGGCUUCUCGUGAAGGCUUCCUGGCGACGACUGACACGCAGAGCAGGCCCGAUGGGACAUCUCCCAGCAUCCUCGUGGCUGGGUCAGUCUCAGCAGGCAGCCCUCGAGGCUCAGAGAGCAGCAUGCACUCAGAGAGUUCCUCAGUGUCUGCAGAGAUGGCGGUUGGAGAGAUCACGCUGCCCCCUGGGAGUUCCACCACUGCCUUUCCUGUGGACAGCCCCUCAAGCCAUGGCCCCAGCGUUCCAGUGAUCAGUGCCAGAGCCGAGACGUCAUCCCAGCCGGAGCCGGUGACGGUAGCUGAGUCGUCCCCUUCUCCUGUCUCAGGGACUGCCCCUGGUGAAAAUGCAGCUGUGCCAUGGCUUUCUACCCCAGCUGAGGCCCUGAGUGCCUUAAGCACAGGCCUCAAUUGGCUGUGGACUCUCCCUGCAGCCAGUCCAGAAGCGUCCUCAGGGAGCAGCACCGUGGCUCUGGACAAGGUUUCAGCUGUGCCAGAGACCGAGGGGCCAAGCCUGGCUGCCAGCAGCAUGGUCACAGACACGCUCCCUCCCUCUGCCACCUCUGCUCAGCAUCCUGGCCACCCAAGUCCGGGAGGAGGGAUUGGCUCCGCUGGCUCCCUGACCUCAGCCUGGUCCCCAGAGCCAACAUCCUCCGACUCUGGCACUGGAGCCGCCUCUUCCUCUCCUCCAGAUGUGAGCUCCUCUUUGGGGGUGACUCGAGCUGGCAGUGGGGCAUUGCCGAUGGACUCGCAGACCACAGAACUUCUCUCGUCGGCCACUGCACCAGCGUAUGGCACAUCGGCAGAGGCCUCAAGGACUGUGACAGGAGGUGGCCCUCCAGGGGCAUUGAGUCCAGGGCCCAUUCCCAGCUUGGGAGACUCGAUCACAGCCUCCUGGAAGGACUCGGCAGGCACGGGCAGGAGCUCUGUGUCUCCGGAGCUUACCCUGCCUGUUUUGGGUACUGACGCCUCCACAGGGUUCACAGCAUCUGGUGGCCCAUCCAGUCCUCCUCCAGGGACUGAGCUGCCAACCAUGCCUGGCACCGAGUCGCCAUCCUCACCUCUCGCAGUUGUGGAAGCCAGUUCUGCUUCUCCCCUUUCCUGGGGCCCGGGGGCCAGCCCUUCCCCCGGUUUCUCCCAGUCGACAUCGGAGGACAAAGGAGGCUCCUUUCCGAGCGCCACCAAGCGCACGUCGGAUGUCUCAGCCUCUGGGCCCACCGUGAGUUCAGAGAGUGUUGUUGCCACCUCGUCAGUGCCCAGCACAGAGGAGAUUGGCUCCGGGUCCGCUGCCUCCCUGGGCACCAGACUUCCACUCUUGACUGGCGGGAACAGGGUUACGGGAACAGGGGCUCCAGGAUCUACCCCGGAGCCCACAAGCCCUUGGCGUACAGGCCCGGCAGCAACACCAAGGCCCGGCCUGACCUUCGGCCCUGCCCGGACAGAGAGCACAGUGCCCGUGAGCACAGGUGCUGGCUCAGAGACACCUUCAUCCAGCUCUGUGGGCAGCCAACCGAUAGCACCAGACACCAGCAUUGCCAGCCUUCCGGACCCCCUGGCGACUGAGGCCACCAGCUCUGCGUCUCUCCUUUCGCCAGAGACAGGUUCCCCGGGAAAACUCCAUGUGCUGUCGAGCCUCAGCCCACACUCCCCUCCUGUGUUCACGCCGUCCUCGUCCCGGACCAGCCCCUCUUCUCCUGGGAUGGCCCCUUUCUCUGGGUCAGAGCAGAACACAGAAGCAAGCGGGGCAUUUGUGCCAGUUUCAGUUGCCACGGAGACUCUGUGGGCAUCUGGCCCUUCCCCGUACUGGUCCACACUGACAGCAGACAUCCCUGGCCCAGCUGGUACAGCCUCUGGCUCAGGCCCUGCUCCUUCCACUUCAUCCCAGUUCACAAGCAUCAGUGAGAGCCUAGGUGCCAGCAGCCCCCCUGCAGACCUAACCUCCCAUGAAGCCAUCAGCACAUCUCCAGCCAGUGAGGCCCUGGGGGCCUCCACCAGUGUCAGCACUUCAGGUCAGUAGGAGUCUGCCGUCUGCUUAUUGUGCUGGAGAAGCCUUCAUCUGUGCUUGGUUUGUAUCGCCUGCUCUUGGGGCCUCUCCAUGUGGUGGAUAUGUGUUGGGCUAUUCUUGGGUCCUGGGGACCUGGCUUAGGAUUUUGCCCUUUCUGGGAACAUUUCCAUUCUGGCUUGCUUGGGGUCUCCCUUUGAAGUCUUUCCCUCCAUGUCUGUCCCUUUGAGGUUGGAAGCGCAGACUCUGUUCCUUUGGAGCUGGACAUGGACAAGCUUUGUCCAUGGCAUGUGUAGGAUCCACCAUUUUAGGUUGGUGCCCAGCGCCAAGUAGGUAUCAUCUGUCUGCCCGCCAGCCGAGGCUCAUCCAAGAGGGCAUUUGGGGAUGCGCUGUGUGGCGCUGAGAAGCCACUGAGAGCAUAUGGAAGAGGGGUCGGGAAAAGCCCUCUGCUAGACUCCCAAUCUCACAGUAGUGCAUUUCA